Molecule: non-coding RNA, 3359 nt
Organism: Phalacrocorax carbo (great cormorant)
Lineage: Eukaryota; Metazoa; Chordata; Aves; Suliformes; Phalacrocoracidae
Source: RefSeq, a predicted model, not a curated record
UGCAGGCAGAUUUGUUUAUUUGACAGGCUCUGCUCACUUGACUUUCUAAGGGUAAAAAUAUACAUUCCUAUCUGGAAAGGCUUCCAUAGGAAUGGUUCUACUGGUUGCAUCGUUCAGUGAUCACUCAGAGCCAACAGGGCUGAUAAGGUGUGCCUGGCUGCGGUCUCUGCUCCAGCUUAACACCGGCACGGCAUGGGUCUAAUGCAAACGCUAGUUUUGGUCUGUUCCUGCAAGAGCCUCCCAAGGGCAUGUUUUUCUGCACUGUGGGUGGUUUCUGUCUUUCAGAAUUAUAUUGAUAAGGUUUGAGCCUUGAUGGAAUGAAAAAUGCCAGCAGCCUCCAUGACAGCGAAGUUGAUUUCCUUCUACUGGAUAUGUCCUGGCUUUGGACUUACCUCCCCAGUUGUACAACAGAAGACAUUAUCCAGUGCCUCCAGCAGACAAUGCAAUACUGCAGUCAAACAGCACUGAUAACCUGGAGAAGAACUGCAGCAUAUGAAGGGUUUGCAGUGUCCCAUCCAUCAGAUGUGGGAGAUUUGAUGCAGCGUUGUCCUGGAAGCUGUUCCGUCUGGGUAAAAGCUCCAGUAAGCCCAGCAUUUAGGUUUGUUAUUGGCAUGUGAUGGUAGGAAAACUUAAAUUCAGGAAUGAGGGCAAGGCUAUCAUUUGCUGCCUUAUGAUAUUCCCAGAUUGAAAAGAGAGAGUCUUGCGAAUGUUUAUGGUGUGUUCCCAUGUUUAAUAGGGAUGUCAAAAAUAGUGAGAGGCCUCACUGACAUUUUUAAGAGCAGAAAGACUUUACUAUUCUCCAAUGAUGAGAAAGUACAAAGAAAUCCAAAAUCAGUUAAUAAUAAAUAUAAAAGACAUUUAAAUUAAAUUUCCCAAAUUUAGAAGUAAAAUAGAGCAGAGCUGUGGUUUAUUAAAUGAAAGGAGAGGAUUUAUGGGUCAGACAUUUCCACAAGUAGGUCUGAAACACUCAGGACCAAUGCACAGUACACCAGAAGGGUGCUUCAGCCAUGUCCUCACAGCUCCGGGAGAAAAGGGAUCUCAGGACCACUCCAAAAAUACCCUGCAGGCAGUAGUGAACAUUGAAAAGUGACUGUUAAGCAAAGGAAAUCACUGUGGUGUGUUUCCACACAGUUCUGAGUUUUCUACACUUCACACUUCCCUUUUGCAACGUUGCAAAAACUUUUCUUGUUUGUUUUCCUCUUGGAUCUUCCCAGUGCUUUGCUGGGCCUGUUCACCUGCCCUGGUGGCCUCCAUGUAUUUUCAUGAAGCCUUCUGCUAAAGUAAGUGGAAUAUUCAUUAGCUGACAAUGGAAAUAAAACCCUGACUGGUUCUUCUAGCUCAAAGAAGAAAUGUAUGGAAGAAAAUAAACUAUGCCAUCAGAAGUGUCAGAUGGUGGACUCUGCGCUGCUUUUCAGGCUGCCGUAAGGGUAUUCAGGACCCUGUGUACUGGAAAUAAAAUUUCAGAACAUUGACUUGCUCAGGAGUUGUUUUGUGAGAGUGGACCAAUAUUUGUUUAGUACCCAGGACUGGAAUUUGAGUCAAGGUUGCCAUCUCUCAGCCCAUCUUGGAACGUCUUGGAAAGUCAGAAGAAAACCAUCUCUACUGUCAUCACAGGGAGAUAAACUUGGAGGUGUACUCCUUGCUGUUAGCUGUUUCAAGAAAGAAAUUGUUUUUUAGAUUCCCCUUUAAACCUUCUCUGAUCCUAGGAGAGAGCCAGAAAUCAUUUCCCAGUAGAAAUAACAGCAGAGCAAAGGUAUCCUUGAGAAACGAUUGUUUGUUCAGCUUUAAAGUAAAUUUUUGUUUUUUGUUUCCUCCCAGCCAUGAGGAAUGGCUGAGCAGUUUUUUUACCCCCCGGAAUAUAACUGAUGAUGGCUUGCAGCAAAUAUUUUUCAUCUGCAAAGGUACUAAAGGUCUCUGCAAGAUGAAGGGCAGAGCUACUAAUCGAAUUUAUGUGGGAAGACUAUUGUACCUUCUGAUGAGCCUUGAUGAAAUCAGUAGGGAUUUUCACAUAUUUUUGCACUUCAGUAGAUUGAGUCUCAGUAUCAGCUACGGAGUAGGGAGGAUGUAUCAUAGGGGUAUCUACAGCUUUGCAACCCGCAUAUAAACGGGAAUAAGAAGUUUAUAUAUAUAAUGUAGAACAGCAAAGCAGCCUCCUCUGCAUGGAAACUAAUGACCAUUGAGAUCAAGCCAGAAAAGUAAAAAUGGAAAUACUCCUUACCCAAGAAAAACAUAAACAUUGAUAUUUGCAGUCUGUUACUACAUUAUCAGUACAAUUUACCUCAAUGACUCUUUUAUAGCUGUAUGUAGUCAACAGAGGCUUGCUUUUCAGGUUAUUAGAAGAUCCUACGUGGGAUAAGCUAUGUGGGAUGUAGCUUGCUCUGGGAAAAGUCCCUAUUGACUUUACUGGCCUGAGAAUCAAUUCUUAAGAAUGCCGUUUAUGACUCUACAUCAGCUGCUCCCUAAAAAUCUACCUAUAUUGUCUUUAAGCGUGAGCCCAAGUAUGUGGUUGGGCCCCGUUGCUUUCAGGCACUGAUACUGGACAAACCUUGUGCACUGGAACAGACUCUUAAUAGAGGAUGCUGCACACCCAAAUCUGCAGGUGGCCGUGCUUGUCUCCCCAAGAGUUCUGUCAAACAUCCCAUGAUGUUGUGAGUCAACAUCUGGCAGUUAGCUUGGCCAGGCUUCUUCCUAGCAGGGUCUGACAUGUCAUGAAGGGUGGGCAGAUGGAGGACAGAUGCUCUCUUGCUCGCAAACUGGAUGCAGAAAGCAUGGUUUAUCUUGUUUUUGGAACUCUGCUGUUUAAGACAGUGUCAACAUAGCCCUUGAUUAUUUUCUGGCUUCUCUUUAUUCAUUUUCUGCCUCACCGUCAAUUUUCAUACACAUUUCUCUCUGCUGUCCCCAUUCCUGACUCCUCAGGUAGUUACUUUUACAAAUUAAUGUUACAGUUUUCAUCACACAUCAUUGGGCUAAAGUUCUGCAGUCAGUUGCAACUGCAUUGAGUUGUAAUCAAUGGUGCUGAAAGUAUUAUGGCCUUAAAAAGCAAAUCUGACUCCAGAUAUUUCAGACCUUUCAACUGUGGUGGGACAGAGCUGUUAACAUGUGCGAUGCAAUGGAGUGCAAAUGCAGGGGGUCAAGGUCAUAAUGAUAAUGUACCAGUGAAACUUAGCAUGUCAUGACAGCUAAUCAUAGAACAGAAUCAGGUCCGUGGAGCUUCUUUGUAGCCUUUAUAUUAUACAUAAAUAUAUCCUAUUCUAUAUACAUAUAUAUCCCAUGUUUAUCCUACAUAUUUUUAAUAUACGGAGUAUGCAUUAUAUAUAUGUGUAUAUAUAUAAAAAUAAAUCAACUUCAGUAUCUCUGUA